Molecule: transfer RNA, 73 nt
Filed under: Stegodyphus mimosarum
Lineage: Eukaryota; Metazoa; Arthropoda; Arachnida; Araneae; Eresidae
Rfam family: tRNA
About the family: Transfer RNA (tRNA) molecules are approximately 80 nucleotides in length. Their secondary structure includes four short double-helical elements and three loops (D, anti-codon, and T loops). Further hydrogen bonds mediate the characteristic L-shaped molecular structure. tRNAs have two regions of fundamental functional importance: the anti-codon, which is responsible for specific mRNA codon recognition, and the 3' end, to which the tRNAs corresponding amino acid is attached (by aminoacyl-tRNA synthetases). tRNAs cope with the degeneracy of the genetic code in two manners: having more than one tRNA (with a specific anti-codon) for a particular amino acid; and 'wobble' base-pairing, i.e. permitting non-standard base-pairing at the 3rd anti-codon position.
Source: Rfam by way of RNAcentral
GUCUUCUUGGUGUAAUGGUCAGCACGAUCAGCGCGUAUUCGAGAGGUCCGGGGUUCGAGUCCCGGCGAGGACA